RNAcentral lists this ribosomal RNA (360 nucleotides) under uncultured bacterium. RNAcentral's name for it is "bacterial SSU rRNA". It matches the Rfam family "Bacterial small subunit ribosomal RNA", at positions 30 to 371 of the family's 1533-position model. The record is from RNAcentral.
AGUGAACGCUGGCGGCAGGCCUAACACAUGCAAGUCGAGCGGCAGCGGGUCCCCGCGAGGGGAUGCCGGCGAGCGGCGGACGGGUGAGGAACACAUCGGAAUCUGCCUGGUUGUGGGGGAUAACGUAGGGAAACUUACGCUAAUACCGCAUGCGACCCUGAGUCGACGGACUGGGGGUGAAAGUGAGGGACCUUCGGGCCUCACGCGACCAGAUGAGCCGAUGUCGGAUUAGCUAGUUGGCGGGGUAACGGCCCGCCAAGGCGACGAUCCGUAGCUGGUCUGAGAGGAUGAUCAGCCACACUGGGACUGAGACACGGCCCAGACUCCUACGGGAGGCAGCAGUGGGGGAAUCUUGGACAA